This 82-nucleotide transfer RNA is filed under the name Methylobacterium indicum. Its description in RNAcentral is "tRNA-Thr". The record is from RNAcentral. Lineage: Bacteria; Pseudomonadati; Pseudomonadota; Alphaproteobacteria; Hyphomicrobiales; Methylobacteriaceae.
CGUCGAUGGUGCGGGGCAGGAAGCGCUGGAGGUUGGUGCCCUCCGGCGUGACGCCGCCGCCGAUCAUCUCGGCGAUCGAGCC